AUUUAAAUAGCUUAAAUUUAGAGCACAAUAUUGAAGAUAUUGGGGUGAUAUUAUAUCUUUAAAUA
Molecule: transfer RNA, 65 nt
Filed under: Corethrella condita
Lineage: Eukaryota; Metazoa; Arthropoda; Insecta; Diptera; Corethrellidae
Description: tRNA-Phe
Source: RNAcentral